CUCACAAUUUUUGAAACACAACCCACAGCACGUUGCGGGAGGAGACAGGGUUAAGACAUGCCCAUAUCCAUACUCAGCAGUGAAGUGGGCAGCAAGACAAACGCCCUGGGUCCUUGCUCUGGGAACCAAAAGCUAGGCAAAUCCCCUGAUUUCAGCAGUGCCCCCUCCAUUUUCUCUCCAGGGCUAUUUUUAAGCUGGCUGAUCCCAGCAACAUGCCUUACAGAGGGACAACACAACACUGCAAAAGGUGGAAGUGGAGCAGGAAGUGAGGGAGAUGAGAAACACCUUUUCAGAUGGCUUCCCCUUGUGUGGGCAGCUGUGGCCUUAGGGGCCAGAUUUCCCUGUGACAAGGGAGGCUGUAGUGGAAGAGCUGGUGAAAGGAGUAAUAAGCACUGCAGGUGGGAAAAAAAGGCAGGGCAACCACCCACCAAUAAAUAUAGGCAGGGCAGGGCUACAUUUUGUACAGCUGGGACCAUCUGCCUAAUGGCAGGGAAGGGCAAGAUAGGUGUCAGGAGAGGGCCCAUUUCAGGCUCUUUCAAAACUGCGCUUCAUGGAUACCAGGAGAAACAUGGAUGCGGAGAAGAUGAUGCUAAACCUCACGACUCCAGGAAGCGGUGCCUUAAAAACAUGAAUCGCUCUGCCAUGAAGCUUUGGAUGAAUUUGCAAGGGGGCAAUGCUGGAGUCUGUAGGAGGUUGGGUAAGGGGUGGGAAUCUGCACAGCUCAAGUGGGGGGCCAGCCACUACACACUGCGGCCUGUGGAACGCUGCCCAGGCUGUCCCCACGGGGGAGAUCUCCCAUACUCAAGCACUAGGUCGAGGAUUGUUCUGCUACCAAAUUCUCCAAAAAUGAGACACACAGGGGCGCCAAAGUCUCAGGAAAAGAAACCUCAGCGUGAGGCUUUUUGCUGCAGAGCUGCUUGUGGGCAGCCUGCCUUCCCACAGGAGCAGCAGCUCAUCAGCCCUGGCCUGCUUUUGUUUGCAACCAUGCUGGGGCUUCACAGGCCCCUGAACUUGCCUGUCGUAAGCAGGAUAGGUGGCUGCUUGCUGCUUUUAACCCUGCUCCUCUGGCCAGAAGUUCCCAAAGGAGGGACAAGGUGUGCCCAGGUGCAAGGGAUGUCACUCCCUCGGUAGAGCCAGGCCAUGUUUUGUCCUUCUUCCACAAGCGAGGCCAGUGAAAGAGUGAUUCCACUAGCCCUGGGCUGCCAUGAGAUUAUGCGUAUAGAGGACUGCUGUUCCUUCUGCUGCUCUUUGGGAAGAUCACACCCAGAGCACGGCCUAUGGUUUCUCUCACUUCAGAGGUUUUCUUCCACAGCAGUAAGGGAGGCAGGCGACACACGCCGGUAUAAAACACCCCAGAAAUAUAACUGAGUCAAGCAAGCUAGACCCGUGGUACAGGCUGCUGUGGAAAGACCAUGCUAUUCACUGCUUCGUUUUGCUUUGCUCUCUGCCGAGUGAUAUAUCUUAGUGACAAGUCACUCUAGCCAUGCAACACUGCUUUUAAUGCCAUAAAGCAUCGUGGGGUGUAGGCAUGUGCUAGGACAAAGGCUAGAGCUAAUGUUAAAGGCUAAAUGUAUUACAGCUGAAUGCAAGCUGGUCUCGAUUAAAGAUUACAGCCUUGGAAGUUUCUUGUUAAAAAGUCACUUGGAGGUUUUUUUUUUGUUUUGUUUUGUUUUGUUUUGUGUGUGUGUGUGUAUAUUAAUAUUAUGGACAUCAGAGCCUCCAACAGUUAUUUUCAAGUAAUAUGUCUUUUUGUAAUUAUUUGACACAUUAAAAUAUAUGCCUCGCAGACAGCAGUUCUAAUGUUAGCUUAUAUAUAUCAAAGUAGAUUUUAUUUAAACACCACUAUGGAGACUGCCAGGCUUUGUUUCAUAAGUACAUCUUGGAAUUAUUAGGGUGUUUUAUUCAAUGCACUGAAGAAUGCAAUUCCACUUCCAAUGUAUCACAUUGUGCCGGGGUGGAUACAAUGCCCAAGUGUUGUUAGAGACACACCAAGAGUUUCAAAAGUGGGUGCCCAGGUUUAGAUACCGAAGAGCACAAUUCAGCACCUGAAUGGAAGCAGCCUGUUGCAGAGAGGCCCCGAGCACGCGCUGCUCCUCCCGAUAUCUCUCUCCUGACAAUGGGAUGCAAUGUCAGCAGCAGCAGGAGGAGCAGGUACUGGUCUAGCGGAUUGUUCUUGGUUUCCUUUCCUUGAUCUUCACCAAACCAGAUGCAAGACCUUUGGGAAAUUCCUUAUCUUCCCCUUGCAACGCUUAUCUGUAAAGCAGAUAAACUAAUAACACUGCAUCUCUCAAGGGUUUGUUGAAUCUUAUUAUAGAGUUUGAGAGGGAAGUCAUUAUAAAAAUGACCAUGUUAAUAUGACAUGAAUGUAACAUGAAGGAGCCCCAUUCUGCUCCAUGCCAGUUUGUGGAGCCUCGUUAUUUGCUUUAGCAGAAGCAGGGAUUUGACCUGUACUUAAAUAACUUCCAUUUGUUUGUCUUGUAGCUAAGAGAUAGCAUUAAAAGGAAAGCUCACUCCUGCCUAUGUGUAAAUAUUCAGCACCUGAAUAGGUGUUCUUUUGCAGGGCACAGAUUCUGCUUCUCAACACUUUCUCGGGAUGUUAGUACAGACUCUUUCAAAGCUGCUGCAGAUCAGAAGAUACCCCAAAAUUAAUGGAUCAAAAUCUCUCCCAGAUAAGCAUACACAUACAGAAUUUAUUUUACCGAGCAAGUAAAUAUUUAAGAUAAAUAUCCCUGGGGGAGGAGGGUUGUGUGAGGUUUUAUGGCAUAUUAUAUUAUGGGCUCAGUUUUGAAAUUUUAAUCCAAGCAAAACUCAUCAUGUAGAGACUUAGCACUGGAGUGUAACUUGGUGCUUCGUCCUCAGGUCAGUGGAUACAUGCAGUUGCAUCAAUGGAUUUUAGGGCAGGGGGCAGUGAAGAUGGUGAAGCUUUACCCAAAGAAGAGAAGCCCUCCCCAUAAACAAUUAAUUUAGUUUAGCAAUAAUGUUUUGUUCAGGCAAGUCACAUUGGAGGAUACCAUUCUGUGAAUUUCACCUAACGAUUUUAGUGAUGAAAAAUUAUAAAAUAAUAUAUGUCAAAUAACAAUUUUGUAAUUGUUUUUCAGUGGCAUGGUCAAUAAAACUGCAAUCUGCUGCA
Molecule: long non-coding RNA, 3130 nt
Filed under: Anser cygnoides (Swan goose)
Lineage: Eukaryota; Metazoa; Chordata; Aves; Anseriformes; Anatidae
Description: lncRNA (ENSACDG00005010615.1)
Source: RNAcentral